Molecule: non-coding RNA, 183 nt
Filed under: Thermovirga lienii
Lineage: Bacteria; Thermotogati; Synergistota; Synergistia; Synergistales; Thermovirgaceae
Also listed under: 1 other name
Source: RNAcentral
GCGAAGAUAAACCAGUAAGGUGCCCGUAAGGGAGAAUAGGGAAGUCCGGUGAGAAUCCGGCGCGGUCCCGCCACUGUGACGGGGACUUUGGUUGAGAGAUGCCACUGUUGCCUUAGUGCGAUGGGAAGGUUCAGCCAAGGGAUGAUCCAAAGCCAGGAGACCUGCCUUUCUGGAGUUAGUAGG